CCUACGGGUGGCUGCAGUGGGGAAUAUUGCACAAUGGGCGCAAGCCUGAUGCAGCCAUGCCGCGUGUGUGAAGAAGGCCUUCGGGUUGUAAAGCACUUUCAGCGGGGAGGAAGGCGUUAAGGUUAAUAACCUUGGCGAUUGACGUUACCCGCAGAAGAAGCACCGGCUAACUCCGUGCCAGCAGCCGCGGUAAUACGGAGGGUGCAAGCGUUAAUCGGAAUUACUGGGCGUAAAGCGCACGCAGGCGGUCUGUCAAGUCGGAUGUGAAAUCCCCGGGCUCAACCUGGGAACUGCAUUCGAAACUGGCAGGCUAGAGUCUUGUAGAGGGGGGUAGAAUUCCAGGUGUAGCGGUGAAAUGCGUAGAGAUCUGGAGGAAUACCGGUGGCGAAGGCGGCCCCCUGGACAAAGACUGACGCUCAGGUGCGAGAGCGUGGGGAGCAAACAGGAUUAGAUACCCGUGUAGUC
Molecule: ribosomal RNA, 465 nt
Filed under: uncultured Klebsiella sp.
Lineage: Bacteria; Pseudomonadati; Pseudomonadota; Gammaproteobacteria; Enterobacterales; Enterobacteriaceae
Description: bacterial SSU rRNA
Rfam family: Bacterial small subunit ribosomal RNA
Source: RNAcentral